Molecule: long non-coding RNA, 1027 nt
Organism: Homo sapiens (human)
Lineage: Eukaryota; Metazoa; Chordata; Mammalia; Primates; Hominidae
Exons: 7
Source: RefSeq, a predicted model, not a curated record
GCAUAUUCCUGAGUGAGAAAGAAGCGGCCAUGCUUAAGGAGAGAAGGUGGCCACAUGGCAGAGUGCAAGACAGCAUGAAAUAGAUGAGCUCACCAAAAGAUCGUCAGGGACCAGACCAGCAUGUGCCUGGGCUUGGAGACAGGGAGGCAUGAAAAAAUUGGAGGCUACUUCGGCAACCUUCCUCAUGUGAUCUGGACCACGAUGGUGGAAGUAGAAACGGAUGCAUGGAUAAACAGAUACAACAUUUACUGCAAUUGCCAAAGAAGCUGCCCAUCACUGUCACGCCAGCUGCACAGUCUUCACUGAGGGAGCUUCCAAGUGCCAUUUUAUUAAUGUGGAGAGAAGAAUAACAGAUCAUAAAUGUUUGAGGUCUAUCCAGCCGGAGUACAGGGGAUUAUCUAUUAUCCUGUGAGCUCGUGUUUUAUUCAUCUUCGUGUUCCCGUGAAUUAUACAGUGCAAAAACUGCUUAGAAGGCUUCCCCUCCUAGACAGCCCAACAGCACCUCAACCUCAGCCGGAAUGAAACUGAAUGUGUUACUGCGCACCCAAACAGAGCUUCUCUUCCUGCUUUCUCUCUCCUGAAUUCUUGACCAGGCGCAGUGGCUCACACCUGUAAUCCCAGCACUUUGAGAGGCCAAGGCAGGAAGAUCCCCUGAGGUCAGAAGUUCGAGACCAGCCUGGCCAACAUGGCAAAAUCCCAUCUCUACUAAAGGGAGAAUGGGAAAUGGAAAUCUGGACCUUUCUAGCCCAGAAGAGAGUAGAAGGACAAAGAGAAGCUGAAGGCAGGCAGGUCACACUGAUUCGUAACAUCUGUGUGUCAUGGUUUCCCACCUACCAGCUAUGCUGCAGAGCAGGACAUCCAAAAUGUACAUUUUCCAAGAUCCUGGUCAGAUUCUACUCAGAAGGAGCACUCACAUGUGACUUGGAAGGCAGAAGAGAAGCGGUCAUCACAGUGGUGCUCCUCUGGCAGUGAGGGGAACAUGUGGGCUUUGGCAGAUGUGCGAUUUUGGGUGAGCCGCAAGAGUUCU